GUGCCUACAACCUAAGAAGCCCUUUGCAAUUUAUUACCUCUGAUUUAUUAUUUUUCUUUCUGCCUAGUUUACCCAGAUGACGGGUGACCAUUAUAUUUUGAGCAACGUUGACAUGAGAGACAGCUGGAUGAUAGCAAUUGUGACUGUAUACGGCAGCUGCGCUAGCAACUAAAAAUCAAGCAUGGAGGAAUUAAAGUGGUUCCGGCAUAUACUCUGCCCUGAGGCUCCAAAGUGCCUGUGUGCCUUUUACGGUACUUACCCUUCGUCAACUAAACUCGGUUCGAAGAUACAACCGGCAAGAAACGGCCCGUCGCGGAGCAACAAGGAAAACAACCGUCGUUACAAGUCGUAAAAAGAUAUUGGUUGUCGUACAACGUUGUGCCAUGGACUAGGAGGAAUGUCGCACUUCAAGGGCCACCGAGAUUUUUUUUUUUUGUGCUUAUUUGUGCGCCUGCGUAAUAAUGAAAUGUCUCCUCCCCAGAGCGCUGCGUCGAGAGGGUGGAGACUGUUGGAAAAAAACACCUCUCCGGUUGGUUUGAGCCGUGUAAAAUUCGGGCUCUGCAUCUUCGAAAUUAAAAUGGUGCUUAGUCACAGGAUCGAUCAGGGUUAAAGAAUCCUUAUGGUCAAGACGUUUGCUAUAAAUUUGACAAUUUACAGAAAAGAAGCUAUCACCUAAAGACCUCACCACGAAGCAGAAUUUUGUUCUGGAUUAAGUACGGAUUCGGUUUUUUUGCAAUAGGCUUCUUUAAUUUGCAAGCAUUCAAUGUUAGAAAAACUCAGAUGGGAAAAGGUGGGGCUAUCGGAACCGGGUUGCUGAAGUCCAGUCGGUUUGAUGUUUCCUGUAUAUUUGCUGUCUUCUAAGGAAUGAUAUUCUGGAUAGUUGCAUAGCAGCUCUCCAAAUUGAGAGUAUGAAGACUCCUUAUGUAGAUUCUGGUGUUUAUAGAGGCAAUUUGUGUGUUAUAAACCGCUUGAUCCUAAAUGAAUUCUAAAAUGCAAAAUUACUGUAAAGUAACACCUUACCUUCUACUAUCUUCAUAAAAUUAUUUAGCACACUGCACUGUUCAAUGAGGUGCCAACCAGGAGGACACACUAUCAAACAUAUUUUAACUCAUCAGCUUUUUUCCUCUGGCCACAGGGCAAGAAUGCUGCUUUUUUCCUUCAAAAGAUAACUCAUAGUUGGAGAAGAGUUUCUGGUAAGGAGAGCAGAAAGCAAGUUUCUGGCUUCUUUGGGUGGGUGGAGCAGGAUUGAUAUUUGUAGGAAAUCCCUUGGAAGGAAAGGAUAGAGUUUUCUACUCUCCCUGAUUUAUUGCACAAUUCAGAAUAUAUCAGAGUGCACUAAUGUGUCGCAAGAAUUGAUAAACACUUUUUACAAUUAAGCCA
Molecule: non-coding RNA, 1380 nt
Organism: Pantherophis guttatus
Lineage: Eukaryota; Metazoa; Chordata; Lepidosauria; Squamata; Colubridae
Source: RefSeq, a predicted model, not a curated record